GACGGCUGUGCUUUGCUGCAUAAUUACGCCCCGUCACAGGGCGAAUCUCGUGCACACCUUAGUUUACGAUUUGCUGCUAACUAUUAGCGACUACGAACGGGUUCUAAACGUAGGCUACGUUGUAGUCUGCAAUACCUCCGUGAAUGAACGGGAUGCUGCGACACUCGGGUUUUUCCCCAACUCAAGAUCGGUUCUCUUCUGCCUCACAACCUGCACGCUUGUUCAAUAAAGUUCGUAGGGAGACGUGGUCAUCGGCAGGGGCGUUUCUGUUCAGGAACCUGACCACGGUCAGCAGGACCGGAGAACAGCAGGCUUGUGUGCCGGAAACUCAAGUCAGCCUAUAAGCCUGAUUGGACAGCACAAAUAACGGAAGGGCCACCAACAUUCCGCCUUCAGAAUGGAGGUUAACCGCCCAAGGAGGACAAGAGAAGGCUCACGGCAGCCAUCGCUGUGUGAAGGGGAGGGACUGUCUAAAGAGCCCUGCCGGUCAGCUGUUUCCUGUCACUUCCUGUCUGCGGGACGCUCCCAAACCGAAGCCCUCUCCACCCGGCUGCUUGGUUUGGAUGGCGGGGGGGGGUGGGGGGGACCCCUAGCCCGUUCCCCUGUCCAUGGGGCGGCCUCCCUGCUUCUGUUCUGCCCUCCUUCCUGCGCCCACGGUGUUUAAGAAUGGAACCAGACCGCCAAGGUCCCGUGCCCCGGACUUCCACCAUGGCACCAUGCCAGA
Molecule: long non-coding RNA, 724 nt
Organism: Anguilla rostrata (American eel)
Lineage: Eukaryota; Metazoa; Chordata; Actinopteri; Anguilliformes; Anguillidae
Exons: 5
Source: RefSeq, a predicted model, not a curated record